AGAGUUUGAUCCUGGCUCAGAAUGAACGUUGGCGGCGUGGAUUAGGCAUGCAAGUCGAGCGAGAACCCAGCAAUGGGGGACAGCGGCGCAAGGGACAGUAAUGUGUAGAUCAUCUGCCCUUCGGACCGGGAUAGCCGCGGGAAACUGCGGGUAAUACCGGAUAACAUCUCCGGAUCAAAGGUGUGAUACCGCCGAAGGAUGAGUCUACAUCCUAUUAGCUAGUUGGUAGGGUAAUGGCCUACCAAGGCGAUGAUGGGUAGCGGGUGUGAGAGCACGACCCGCGUCAUUGGGACUGAGACACUGCCCAGACACCUACGGGUGGCUGCAGUCGAGAAUCUUCGGCAAUGGGCGCAAGCCUGACCGAGCGACGCCGCGUGCGGGAUGAAGGCCUUCGGGUUGUAAACCGCUGUCAGAGGGGAUGAAAUGCAGGUGGGUUCUCCCAUCUGUUUGACAUAGCCUCAGAGGAAGGACGGGCUAAGUUCGUGCCAGCAGCCGCGGUAAGACGAACCGUCCAAACGUUAUUCGGAAUCACUGGGCUUAAAGGGUGCGUAGGCGGCGCGGCAAGUUGGGUGUGAAAUACCUCGGCUCAACCGAGGAACUGCGCCCAAAACUGCCGUGCUCGAGGAAGAUAGAGGUGAGCGGAACUUAGGGUGGAGCGGUGAAAUGCGUUGAUAUCCUAAGGAACACCGGUGGCGAAAGCGGCUCACUGGAUCUUUUCUGACGCUGAGGCACGAAAGCUAGGGUAGCGAACGGGAUUAGAUACCCCGGUAGUCCUAGCCGUAAACGAUGAGCACUGGAUUGGAGGGUCCUCCAUAGCCUUCCAGUCGCAACGAAAGCGUUAAGUGCUCCGCCU
RNAcentral lists this ribosomal RNA (853 nucleotides) under uncultured bacterium. Its description in RNAcentral is "bacterial SSU rRNA". It matches the Rfam family "Bacterial small subunit ribosomal RNA", at positions 9 to 873 of the family's 1533-position model. The record is from RNAcentral.